CCUACGGGAGGCAGCAGUGGGGAAUCUUGCGCAAUGGGCGAAAGCCUGACGCAGCAACGCCGCGUGCGGGAAGAAGGCUUUCGGGCUGUAAACCGCUUUCAGCAGGAACGAAAAUGACGGUACCUGCAGAAGAAGGAGCGGCCAACUAUGUGCCAGCAGCCGCGGUGAUACAUAGGCUUCAAGCGUUGUCCGGAUUUAUUGGGCGUAAAGAGUUCGUAGGCGGUCGAGUAAGUCGGGUGUGAAAAUUCUGGGCUCAACCCAGAGACGCCACCCGAUACUGCUUGACUUGAGUUCGAUAGGGGAGUGGGGAAUUCCUAGUGUAGCGGUGAAAUGCGCAGAUAUUAGGAGGAACACCGGUGGCGAAGGCGCCACUCUGGAUCGAUACUGACGCUGAGGAACGAAAGCAUGGGUAGCAAACAGGAUUAGAUACCCUGGUAGUCCAUGCCGUAAACGGUGGGCACUAGGUGUGGGUUUCUAUUAACGAAUUCCGCGCCGUCGCUAACGCAUUAAGUGCCCCGCCUGGGGAUACGGUCGCAAGACUAAAACUCAAAGGAAUUGACGGCUGAGACGNGCGAGACGACACGAGGAGAGG
This 592-nucleotide ribosomal RNA is filed under the name uncultured bacterium. Its description in RNAcentral is "bacterial SSU rRNA". It matches the Rfam family "Bacterial small subunit ribosomal RNA", at positions 338 to 949 of the family's 1533-position model. The record is from RNAcentral.